UUGCCUCACCUGUGUUUGAUUGCACCUUGUGUGUUUACCUUCUUCUCUACCCUCCAGUGUUUGACUCCCAGUUUUCCUUUGUGGAAUUUUGUUGGAUGUUUUGGAAUUUAAAUCAAAUAAUACUCCAGGGUGUGGGUGAACAGAGAUGUGCAGACCUUGGCUCCGGUUCUUCAGAAUGUCCUCCACCUUCUUCACCGUCAUCUCCAGCACCUCUGCGUUCUCCAUCUUGGAGUGAAACUGUGGAAAACAAACAAACAAGCUCGAUCAGAACCAGAAUCUCCAUGUGUGUCAUCUGUCCCAGUAGGACUCAUCGUCCUCUGAACCGGGUCCGGUAACGCUGGGCCGAGCUGCGGGGGCCAUGUUGGUCGUAUCGCCGCUUCUCUGGCUUCUCCCACCGCUGCUUCUUCCUCCGCAAUCUUCAGCGAGGAGCAGCUGGCAAACGGAACCGGUUACUGGAAGAAGAAGAAGAA
This is a non-coding RNA of Labrus bergylta (ballan wrasse), 470 nucleotides long. Lineage: Eukaryota; Metazoa; Chordata; Actinopteri; Labriformes; Labridae. The record is from RefSeq and is a predicted model, not a curated record.